GCUUGUCUCAAAGAUUAAGCCAUGCAUGUCUAAGUAUAAAUAUCUAUACUGUGAAACUGCGUAUGGCUCAUUAAAUCAGUUAUAGUUUAUUUGAUGAUACCCCACUACAUGGAUAACCGUAGUAAUUCUAGAGCUAAUACAUGCGUCAAAUCCCGACUUUUUGGAAGGGAUGUAUUUAUUAGAUAAAAAACCAACCCGGGCAACCGGUCCUUUGGUGAUUCAUGAUAACUUUGCGAAUCGCAUAGCUUUAAUGCUGGCGAUGGGUCAUUCAAAUUUCUGCCCUAUCAACUUUCGACGGUAGGAUAGAGGCCUACUGUGGUGAUAACGGGUAACGAAGAAUAAGGGUUCGAUUUCGGAGAGGGAGCCUGAGAAACGGCUACCACAUCCAAGGAAGGCAGCAGG
Molecule: ribosomal RNA, 402 nt
Filed under: uncultured Blastocladiomycota
Lineage: Eukaryota; Fungi; Blastocladiomycota
Description: partial small subunit ribosomal RNA
Rfam family: Eukaryotic small subunit ribosomal RNA
Source: RNAcentral